RNAcentral lists this ribosomal RNA (752 nucleotides) under uncultured bacterium. RNAcentral describes it as "bacterial SSU rRNA". It matches the Rfam family "Bacterial small subunit ribosomal RNA", at positions 8 to 796 of the family's 1533-position model. The record is from RNAcentral.
AGAGUUUGAUCAUGGCUCAGAACGAACGCUGGCGGCAGGCCUAACACAUGCAAGUCGAGCGGGAAGCAUCCUUCGGGAUGUGGAGAGCGGCAGACGGGUGAGUAACACGUGGGAACGUACCCUUUGGUUCGGAACAACUCCGGGAAACUGGAGCUAAUACCGGAUAAGCCCUAUGGGGGAAAGAUUUAUCGCCGAAGGAUCGGCCCGCGUCUGAUUAGCUAGUUGGUGGGGUAAUGGCCUACCAAGGCGACGAUCAGUAGCUGGUCUGAGAGGAUGAUCAGCCACACUGGGACUGAGACACGGCCCAGACUCCUACGGGAGGCAGCAGUGGGGAAUAUUGGACAAUGGGCGAAAGCCUGAUCCAGCCAUGCCGCGUGAGUGAUGAAGGCCUUAGGGUUGUAAAGCUCUUUCGCACGCGACGAUAAUGACGGUAGCGUGAGAAGAAGCCCCGGCUAACUUCGUGCCAGCAGCCGCGGUAAUACGAAGGGGGCUAGCGUUGUUCGGAAUCACUGGGCGUAAAGCGCAUGCAGGCGGAUCGUUAAGUCGGGGGUGAAAUCCCGAGGCUCAACCUCGGAACUGCCUUCGAUACUGGCGAUCUUGAGUCCGGGAGAGGUGAGUGGAACUGCGAGUGUAGAGGUGAAAUUCGUAGAUAUUCGCAAGAACACCAGUGGCGAAGGCGGCUCACUGGCCCGGUACUGACGCUCAGGUGCGAAAGCGUGGGGAGCAAACAGGAUUAGAUACCCUAGUAGUCC